This 57-nucleotide transfer RNA is filed under the name Bos indicus x Bos taurus (hybrid cattle). It matches the Rfam family "tRNA", at positions 8 to 63 of the family's 71-position model. Rfam says of the family: Transfer RNA (tRNA) molecules are approximately 80 nucleotides in length. Their secondary structure includes four short double-helical elements and three loops (D, anti-codon, and T loops). Further hydrogen bonds mediate the characteristic L-shaped molecular structure. tRNAs have two regions of fundamental functional importance: the anti-codon, which is responsible for specific mRNA codon recognition, and the 3' end, to which the tRNAs corresponding amino acid is attached (by aminoacyl-tRNA synthetases). tRNAs cope with the degeneracy of the genetic code in two manners: having more than one tRNA (with a specific anti-codon) for a particular amino acid; and 'wobble' base-pairing, i.e. permitting non-standard base-pairing at the 3rd anti-codon position. RNAcentral also lists the same sequence under 1 other name. The record is from Rfam by way of RNAcentral. Lineage: Eukaryota; Metazoa; Chordata; Mammalia; Artiodactyla; Bovidae.
UGGCUCAGAUGGUAAAAGCGUCUGCCUACAAUGCAGGAGACCAGGGUUCGAUCCCUG